GCCGGAUAAGAUCACACAUACCUACUACUCCACAACUGAUCUUUAUUUCUAAAUAAAUUCGAAUCCACACCUCACUUUUUAAAAUAUGAGAUUAAACCUAAAGAGGGGGAGCUCUAUAUUGGGGCAUUGUAUUAAUUAAUUUGUCACAAUCUUUGACCACUUAUACUGAUAUGAUGCAACACCUUACGUUUUUUUUUUUUUUUUUUUGAGUUAGGAGAUGGGAGUUUGGAAUUUAUACCCUAAUCAUGCAUGCAUUCAUUUUUAUAAAUGAAAAAAUAUAAUCGAGGUCGACUAUACAUAUGAAAAAUAUUAAGUGUUCGUGAGGAUUAAUUGAAAUAAUCAUAUCAACACUACCCUUCAUAGAGAUUUGACAGCUCUUGCAAAUCGACAAUGCGAUAACUAACACUGGUUCACGUAUGAAUUAGGUUCAUC
Molecule: long non-coding RNA, 432 nt
Filed under: Salvia miltiorrhiza (redroot sage)
Lineage: Eukaryota; Viridiplantae; Streptophyta; Magnoliopsida; Lamiales; Lamiaceae
Description: long non-coding RNA (SMIL_LNC003611)
Source: RNAcentral